RNAcentral lists this ribosomal RNA (748 nucleotides) under Proasellus meridianus. RNAcentral describes it as "12S ribosomal RNA". Lineage: Eukaryota; Metazoa; Arthropoda; Malacostraca; Isopoda; Asellidae. The record is from RNAcentral.
CCAAAUAGAGGUGAAUUUUUGUUAAUAAUUUUAUUGGGCUCCCCUUCUUCUAUAAGUUUAAAUCUAGCUAAAAAUAUAAAUAUUAUUUAAUGUAUAUAAAAUUAUAAAAUUAAUUACAAGUCAUUUAGUACAAAAAAUUUUUAAACUAGUUAACCUAGUAAAAGUAAAUAAAUGAUCUAUUAGGUGCCAGCAUUCGCGGUUACACCUAUAUUUGUUAUAUCUUUCGUGGUAUAGGGUCGUCCUGUAAAAACUAAAAGUUUUAGAGGUAAAAUUCUGCUUACUUUUUAAAAUAUUGAACCUAAAAAAUUAACCAAUAAACAGGGAUUAGAUACCCCUCUAUAUAAAUUAAACUAAUACCUAAGGUAGUAAAUGUUAUUCACCCCAAACCUAAAGAUUUUGGCGGCAAUCAACCUUUCCAGAGAGACCUGUUUAUUAAUUUGACAAUCCACCCUAUAUCUUACUUUUAUUAAAACUUGCAUACCGUCAUCUAAAUUUUAUUUUAAAAUAAAUAUUUCAAAGGUAACAAAAAUGUUAGAUCAACGCGCAGUAAAUAUAAAAGCUUCUGAUGGGUCUCAAUUUACACUAAAUAGAAGAAACUUUAAUAACUUUUAGAAAGAGGAUUUGGAUGUAAUAACUUUUUAAAAUAAUAAAAUGAAUAAGCCAUUGAUUGUGUACAUAUCGCCCGUCGCCCUCGACACGAGGUAAGUCGUAACAUAGUAGAAGUACUAGAAAGUGUUUCUUUACUUAU